This 335-nucleotide ribosomal RNA is filed under the name uncultured bacterium. RNAcentral describes it as "bacterial SSU rRNA". It matches the Rfam family "Bacterial small subunit ribosomal RNA", at positions 29 to 404 of the family's 1533-position model. The record is from RNAcentral.
AACGAACGCUGGCGGCAGGCCUAACACAUGCAAGUCGAACGAGAUCUUCGGAUCUAGUGGCGGACGGGUGAGUAACGCGUGGGAACGUGCCCUUCUCUACGGAAUAGUCCUGGGAAACUGGGUUUAAUACCGUAUACGCCCUUCGGGGAAAGAAUUUCGGGGAAGGAUCGGCCCGCGUUGGAUUAGGUAGUUGGUGGGGUAAUGGCCUACCAAGCCGACGAUCCAUAGCUGGUUUGAGAGGAUGAUCAGCCACACUGGGACUGAGACACGGCCCAGACUCCUACGGGAGGCAGCAGUGGAAUAUUGGCAAUGGGACUGACCAGCCAUGCGCGUGC